This 368-nucleotide RNase P RNA is filed under the name Rhodospirillaceae bacterium. Its description in RNAcentral is "RNase P RNA component class A". It matches the Rfam family "Bacterial RNase P class A". Rfam says of the family: Ribonuclease P (RNase P) is a ubiquitous endoribonuclease, found in archaea, bacteria and eukarya as well as chloroplasts and mitochondria. Its best characterised activity is the generation of mature 5'-ends of tRNAs by cleaving the 5'-leader elements of precursor-tRNAs. Lineage: Bacteria; Pseudomonadati; Pseudomonadota; Alphaproteobacteria; Rhodospirillales; Rhodospirillaceae. The record is from RNAcentral.
CCAGAUGGUUGGAUGGCCGCUUUUUACAUUAGGGGAAACCCUGCAAAAAGAGGAAAGUCCGGGCUCCACGGAAACACGGUGCCGGGUAACACCCGGCGGGGGAGACCCCAGGGAAAGUGCCACAGAAAGCAAACCGCCUGCAGUAACAGGUAAGGGUGAAAGGGUGUGGUAAGAGCACACCGCGCUAUCGGUAACGAUAGUGGCAGGGGAAACCCCACCGGGAGCAAGACCGAAUAGGGGCAGCGACAUGAGUGUCCGCAUUGCUGCCCGGGUGGGUCGCAUGAGAUGUACGGCAACGUCCAUCCCAGAUGAAUGGUCAUCACCUGUUAUGACAGGAACAGAACCCGGCUUAUAGACCAUCUGGUAUU